AUACGGAGGAUGCGAGCGUUAUCCGGAUUUAUUGGGUUUAAAGGGAGCGUAGGUGGGAUAUUAAGUCAGCUGUGAAAGUUUGGGGCUCAACCUUAAAAUUGCAGUUGAUACUGGUUUCCUUGAGUACGGUACAGGUGGGCGGGAUUCGUGGUGUAGCGGUGAAAUGCUUAGAUAUCACGAAGAACUCCGAUCGCGAAGGCAGCUCACCGGGCCGGAACUGACACUGAUGCUCGAAAGUGCGGGUAUCAAACAGGAUUAGAUACCCUGGUAGUCCGCACAGUAAACGAUGAAUACUCGCUGUUUGCGAUACACGGUAAGCGGCCAAGCGAAAGCGUUAAGUAUUCCACCUGGGGAGUACGCCGGCAACGGUGAAACUCAAAUGAAUUGACGGGG
Molecule: ribosomal RNA, 393 nt
Filed under: uncultured bacterium
Lineage: Bacteria
Description: partial 16S ribosomal RNA
Rfam family: Bacterial small subunit ribosomal RNA
Source: RNAcentral